GAAAUGCGAUAAGUAAUGUGAAUUGCAGAAUUCAGUGAAUCAUCGAUUCUUUGAACGCACAUUGCGCCCGCCAGUAUUCUGGCGGGCAUGCCUGUUCGAGCGUCAUUUCAACCAUCAAGCCCCCGGCUUGUGUUGGGGACCUGCGGCUGCCCGCAGGCCCUGAAAACCAGUGGCGGGCUCGCUGUCACACCGAGCGUAGUAGCAUACAUCUCGCUCAGGGCGUGCUGCGGGUUCCGGCCGUUAAAAGCCUUUUUUACCCAAGGUUGACCUCGGAUCAGGUAGGAAGACCCGCUGAACUUAAGC
RNAcentral lists this unclassified non-coding RNA (303 nucleotides) under plant metagenome. RNAcentral describes it as "partial contains 5.8S ribosomal RNA, internal transcribed spacer 2, and large subunit ribosomal RNA". The stretch from base 1 to 105 matches the Rfam family "5.8S ribosomal RNA", at positions 50 to 154 of the family's 154-position model. The record is from RNAcentral.